Callorhinchus milii (elephant shark) is the source of this 1962-nucleotide long non-coding RNA. RefSeq lists it as uncharacterized. The transcript has 7 exons. Lineage: Eukaryota; Metazoa; Chordata; Chondrichthyes; Chimaeriformes; Callorhinchidae. The record is from RefSeq and is a predicted model, not a curated record.
GAGACUAAAAUAGUAAUGAGAUGCCCUGUGCGCCAGGGGAACACAGGCGGCUGAAUGUUUGGAAGGAGCUCAUCUGAAUAUCUCCCAGGCACAAUCGCGCCCUCGAAUGAAAGGAAAGCAACUUCUUAGAGGACUCAUCAACGUUGUGUUUGUCUCAAAUUGGCGACAGGAUCGAAAAAAAACAGAGAGAGAGAGAGAGAGAAAGACAGAGAGAGAGGGGGAGGGGGACAGGGGAGAGAUAAUUAAUGCGGAUUGACUGAUGGCAACAGCAGAAAUGCAGAAGAUUGUGAAUGAUCAAUGGAGCAGUAAUGACUGACAGCUUCCCUCCAACUUGUUUUCUAUUAUUUUCUCUUCUAAAUGGGGAAAGCGUGGCUAGAUAUAUAUUUUUCUUUUUUCUCUAAAUGUUACAUUCCAUCAACUGAUCAUUAAUGACCGCGUCAGACUCCGUGAUGUUGUGAAUCGGCGAUUCUUUUAAGAAUACUUUUUUUAAGCCGAGACUGUUUUUUCCUCUCUCUCUCUCCCCCCCUUCCUGAUUUUUGUACAGAGUUUUAAUCAGAUAUUUUUUAAAAUAUAUAUACAAGGCAAGGAUGCCACGGCAGAUGUAAAUCUGAUUGGAACCAGUUUCAAUGUCAGUCACCAACGGAGCAGUGACACCGAAUCUUGGACAAGAAACUAACUAACCGAGCUAUCUGACCGAGCGAGAAAAGGCGCACUCACUCCAGAGACCAACGUGAGAUUGACAAAGUUUACUUGCAGUAACCAGGUAAACAAAGGUUCAGCAAAUCGCCGUGCUGGAGAAUUUGCUGAGACGUUUCUCAAGGGCACGCUGGAGAGAAAAGAUUUAUUUUCCAAUCUCCACAUGAACACACCAACAAGACAGACAGAUCGAGCUAAUCUCCACCCAACCCUCUCCAACCCUGUUAUUUAUUUGCAAGAGGGCUUUAAAGAAAUUGGAUUUUUACCCACGGAAGGUGUGCAGUGGAGAUGGGGGAAUCGGUGUUGGGCUGAACUUACGCUGAAGCCGAACCAGAGAAAGUGAACGUAUUGCUUGUCGGGUGGCAGGAGAGACCGAGGGUACAAAGCGCUUUAAUGACAGACUCUCUUCCUACUUCAUUUGACCCGCACAACACAACAAAACGGGGGGAUUCGCUCGUUCAAAGAUCCCAGAUAUGAAACGCUGCAAUUUGCACCCCAACAAAGUAACAAAGUACAGACACCUAAUAUGGCCUUCAGCUUGCAUUCAACAAGAAGCUGAUGAGAGAGAGAGAAAGAUGGGAAGCGAGGGAGAAAGAUGAGGACCCCCGAGCCGCAUCUGUCCCCCUGGUACCACAGGGAAUCCUAAACAAUACAGAGAAGACACAGACUGCAGGAGAAGCCAACUGAUAGCAGGUUUGGGAAUUUUGAGGGAUGGGGAAUGAAUAAAAUAUAUAUAUAUAUAUAUAAAAUAAGAAAAAAAUCUAGUGUUUUUUUAAAAAAUACGCAGUCUUGUACUAAUCCUUGCAUUUGAUAUAGUGCCUUAUUGGGUCGUGGAGACAUCUCACAGAGUAUACUGUAAAGUGAAUUGACUGUGUAUAUUGUGGUCUUGUACAAUGGAGACCUUGAUAUAAUUAAUGAGUAUCUUUGAAGAUAUUAAUUGCCUUUUUUUCUUUCUUAAAAGUUAUUUUGAUCUGUUUCACUUAACUUUCAGUUGCCAAAAGUAUAUUACUCAGUUUGAAAUGACAUUAAGUUAUUGCCUAGUUUCAUUUUAUUCGGGCGUGGGGAAGAGGGGAGAAUAAGUUUGCCAAAAAGUACAUUUCAGUAUUCAACUUGCAAUUAAAAUAUUGAACAGAAAUUCACUCUCAAUGGAGGAGCUAUUUCACAGAUUCCCUCCGGCUCUGUGCGCGCGUGUGUGUAUUUACAUUCCAUUUCCCUCAAUGUUUCUGGAAUAUAUAACAACAAAAAUAAAAAAUUAAGUUGGUAUUG